RNAcentral lists this ribosomal RNA (253 nucleotides) under uncultured prokaryote. Its description in RNAcentral is "partial 16S ribosomal RNA". It matches the Rfam family "Bacterial small subunit ribosomal RNA", at positions 524 to 776 of the family's 1533-position model. The record is from RNAcentral.
UACGUAGGGGGCAAGCGUUGUUCGGAAUUACUGGGCGUAAAGCGCGCGUAGGCGGUCUGGCAAGUCAGAUGUGAAAGCCCCGGGCUCAACUUGGGAACUGCAUUUGAUACUGCCAAGCUAGAGUACAGAAGAGGUGACUGGAAUUCCCAGUGUAGCGGUGAAAUGCGUAGAUAUUCGGAAGAACACCAGUGGCGAAGGCAGUCCCCUGGGCCUGUACUGACGCUCAUGCACGAAAGCGUGGGGAGCAAACAGG